Molecule: ribosomal RNA, 446 nt
Filed under: uncultured bacterium
Lineage: Bacteria
Description: bacterial SSU rRNA
Rfam family: Bacterial small subunit ribosomal RNA
Source: RNAcentral
UUCCAGACUCCUACGGGAGGCAGCAGUGGGGGAUAUUGCACAAUGGGGGAAACCCUGAUGCAGCGACGCCGCGUGAAGGAAGAAGUAUCUCGGUAUGUAAACUUCUAUCAGCAGGGAAGAAGAUGACGGUACCUGACUAAGAAGCCCCGGCUAACUACGUGCCAGCAGCCGCGGUAAUACGUAGGGGGCAAGCGUUAUCCGGAUUUACUGGGUGUAAAGGGAGCGUAGACGGCGAUGCAAGCCAGAUGUGAAAGCCCGGGGCUCAACCCCGGGACUGCAUUUGGAACUGUGUGGCUGGAGUGUCGGAGAGGCAGGCGGAAUUCCUAGUGUAGCGGUGAAAUGCGUAGAUAUUAGGAGGAACACCAGUGGCGAAGGCGGCCUGCUGGACGAUGACUGACGUUGAGGCUCGAAAGCGUGGGGAGCAAACAGGAUUAGAUACCCCCGUA